Long non-coding RNA from Nilaparvata lugens (brown planthopper), 4962 nucleotides. RefSeq lists it as uncharacterized. The transcript is spliced from 2 exons. Lineage: Eukaryota; Metazoa; Arthropoda; Insecta; Hemiptera; Delphacidae. The record is from RefSeq and is a predicted model, not a curated record.
UUGUUUUUUGGAAAAGUAAGGAGUUGGAAGUUCUAGACUUAUCUGAAUUUCGUAAUCAUUCAUUGUAUGUUGGUUGGAACAAAAAGGGUUCAUUGUCGACUUUGGUCAACAGCUGAGAGAGUUUACCUCGACCACAUAGUAAACCCUCUGUACCACUCAGCAAACCACAACAAAACCUCCCAACAACACCACACAGCUUGAGCCAACAACUUACAACAGGUGAUCACUGGGGGGGGGGGCGAAUAAGCAAACAGUGUGAUUAAAAUUAUUUGGGGGAGGGGUCAAAACAAUUAUUGGUGGUAAAUAAAAAAAUCUUUGGUUGGGGGGGAUUUGUAUACUGUAUUUGAGGUAUUCAGGGGGUGGUAUAAAAGCGGGGUAUUCAGAGUGGAUGUACUAAAUUUGGGGUAUUCAGGGGGUCUUUGAGCUUGCAGUGGGGAUUGGACAAAUACUUACUUUGAAAUGCAAAUACCUUGACUGGCCCACACAGGUGGCCUCUGCCUCAAGGCGGCCUCGGGCGCCUCAAGGCCGCCUUCAGGCCUCAGACUCACAAAGUGUGUGGAACCGAUACUUACAUCACAUUCAACAGUUUCUCAUCACAAUGAUACCUCUACCACAACUGGUCGACAAAAAAAAAAUUCCCCAAAACCCUAUCAUCCAAAAACCUUGGAGCAUUCAAUCCUCCAUAUUCAUGAUAAUGCAGCAACAUCUGAACGUCCAAACUGUAGAAAUUCCUCUCAGAGAACAACAAAAGCAAGUCAAGAAUGAACCGAUUUGUUCCAACCAAUAUACAAAAGUUACUCUACCAUAAAAAAUCCAGUUCCAUCUGUUUAAAAGCAAUGUAUUUGUCUGGUACAAUGACUGUACCAGAAAUUCAUCUGAACCUCCCUCAAAUUUAUGAAAUAUCCUCUGCUUUGGCCAUCAAAAGAUCAACUGAUUUUUUGAAAAAUAUAUUUUGGCCUAUCAGACUUAUCAGUCAACUAGGCUGAAAUAAGGAAACCUGUCCAGGAAAUGCUCAAUAGUAAUUCAACUAUUCUUGGAUGAAAGAAGUUUUGGUUCCUGAAUCAUGCAUGGUUGGUUAUAUGAUUACUGUUUACUGUAAAAGACUGAAAAUAUUCCUAAUAAUUGAACCCUACAGAUCUGUUUUUCUUUUUGGAGGACUUGGUAUUAAUUAAACUAUUCAAAAUGACAAAUUUCAGUUGAACUAGAUAGUAAAUAGAAAUUGUGGGCUCUUGAACAAUCUUGACAAAUAUGAAGCUAUGAAACUUAUUUACUGUGAAAAAACAAAAUUUCCCCAAAUAGUCGAAUAAUUUAAACAGUUUUAGGAUAAUAUGGUAAAAUGAUAUUGAGAGGGUAUUAAGGUCAAGUCAAGGUCGAGUCGUGGCCAAGUCAGAGUCAGUCAGUGGUCAAGGUGGAAGUCAAGAUUGAACCAGAGCCUCAAUUUUCUACUUGAAACAUUGCAAUUAUCUGUCUUGGAGUUUGCAGACUUGAAACUGCAAUUAUCUGAAGGUAGAGUGCUUUCAUUAUUCUAUUGAUUUAUGGGAUUGGCCAAUGCUAAAUAUCUGGACUAAUUUACAGAAAUAUACAUGAAGAUAAUUAAAUUUUAUUAUUGUAAGCGAUAUUCUACUUUAACUUUUAAGCAGAUAUUAAUUUUUGUUCAGUUUAAUUUUAAUUUAGAUUUUAAUUGAAUGUAUUUAUUUAUACAGUCAAGUAUUAUUUAUUGUCAAACAACAAACAGAUGUGUUUAUUAUGUUGUUAGUAUGCAUUUUCAGUAUUUUGUUAAAAUUGAUUUGAAUUAGAGGUAGGAAAUGAUAUUGAAAUACAUAUUAUUCUUAAUUGUAAUUAUCUACUUUAUGAAGUAUAGGGAACUAUGUAUGUUGAAGAUAGAUAAUUAUUAUAUUAUUGGAAAUUUAAUUUGCUUAUUUGAGGGUUUGUUUUUUAGAGGAUUAUCGCCCGGUUGCACAAAGUCUGAUAGCUUUUAAUCCCGAUUAAAUUCCAUGAGAACUAAUAAUCAAAGAAGCCUUAUUCUCAGAAAUGCCUAUGUAUUGAAAAUUUUGGGGUCUAAUAAUUAUUGCUUUCUAUUUAUUUAUUUAUUUAUUUAUUACUGUUAUUACACCAUCAAUUUAAAUUGGGCGAGGACAUGUUAGGCCUUUCAGUGAUAUGUUCUAUGUUUGUAAAUAGAGUUGGAGAUCGCUAAAAAGUAAUUCUAUUUUAUGAACAAAUAGAAAAUAACAAUGUUAUCAUGAAUUUAUAAAAAUUCAGCUGGAAAUUAAUUAUUUAAACAAUGAUCGAGUGAGGUUUGCAGUCUCCCUGUCUGUCCAUCAAGCAUGAUCAAUCAAUCAAUUCUAAAUUUAAUUUGGAAAUUAAGAAAAUGUAAUCACAAAUCUUGUAAUAUAACUUUUUUUUACAAUAAUAGAUUUGAAAUUGGUGAACUAGCAUAACAAUUUUAUUAUUGGAAUUAAUAGCUACAUAUUAUGAUAUUCAGUUGAAAUUUGAUAAUGAUACUCGAUUGAUAAUAAUUUAUUAUUGUAGGCCUAAAAUCAUCAUCAUUAUCAUCAUCAUAGAAAUGAAUGAAUGAAUAGUGGAUAAAUUUGUGAUAAUAGGCUAUAUAUAUAGUGACUGUUAAGUGAGCGAAGUGAAUUAAUUUUGAAUAUGGAUUGAAUUUUUAUUCUUAAUAAGCAAUGAAAAUGAAAUGAAUUGAUCUUUGUCACUCACCCUACAGACACUGUACCCUCCUCUCCAGAGUACUCCUUACAAAUCACUUUUCCUUACAUUGUUUCUAAUGUCCUUCACUCAAAUAUAUCCUGCCUCUCCAGAGCCUCCUCCACUGUAGCAUCUAUUUCCGCCGCCAGCCUCCUUGGGAUUUUGCAGGCCUUUAAAUUUUCCUUGUUUUUUCGGUGCUGAAAACAAAAAUCAAACCUUGAAUGAUUAUUUAUUUUAACAAUCAUUAUCAUACAUUGUAUUGUCUUCAUAAAAAUUUUUGUUUUAUUCAUUCAUUCAAGAAGAGAAUUGCUCCAAUCUCAUUAAGCAUGAUUCGCUGAAUCGACUGUAUUGUAGACUAUAAAUUGUUAAACCCUAGCAGAUCGCAUUAGGUGACGCCGGCGAUUCCAACCAUAUUCAAUCAAAGCUUGAGCAUUUUCCCUCUGCCGUCACCAUAAUGUGGUUUGCAACAGUGUGCACAAUGUUUGAUAUAGAAGUAUUUAUUGAAAGCAUAUAUUUGUAUCUCUAUCUCGUAGCAUUAUCAGAGAAAUCAAUGUUGCUGUAUGGAGUCAAUUGCUAAAGAUUAUGGAUUAGGGCAGCAGCAAAUUAAAAAAAAACCAAGUGGCACUUCUUGCUGCUGGGUUAUCCAUUGUGAGAUUCAGGUUAUAGAGUCAGUAUCUUAUAAAUCUCUUAUAUAGAUAGCUCUAUCUAUUUCCAACUCCACACAUUUGCCGAAUUGUUACUAGACUAUGCACAAAUAUAAACUACCAAAAUAUUUCAUUCCAAUAAUGAUAAUUUAUCAUCAAAUUAUGGAAAAAUAUUUCUCCAUGAUGUAUAGAAUAUAUUUAAGAUAUGUUUUAUAAUUAUUAGAAAGAAUCAUUAAUCAAUAUCAUAUCAGAUUUACAAGGAAUACUUGAAUCAGAGCUAUCCACUGUAGUGGUGGAAAGAAAAAGUGGCAACAAUGACUUCCUAUCAUUCCCACUGUCUUUAUAACAUGAAUCUCACUAUAGUUCCAUUCGAAUCGACACAUUCAAUUACAUUUUAAUUGUAUAUAAUAAUUAAUAUUCAUAUAAUGAUUCAAUAUUUUGUAUUAUACAGAACAUUCCUAAAGUCACACACAUUCAAAUAAACAUAUCUGUAAAAAGUGGGGUUUUAUAUUCAUUGUGUGGCUACUGGAAGAUAGCAUCACUGUUAAUGAAUGAAAAACAUGAAUGUGUACAGAUUAUAACAUGUAUACAUUAUUGUUUUGUGUACGAUAAUGUAAAAGCAUACCCUUUUUCCAAUAGCAAGGAAUGUUCCUUCUUGAACAGUAUUUUACCAGUAUUCAAUGCCCCCCAAAUUUUGAUCCAGUGGGGUUAAUUUUCAGUUUAUUCAGAGUAUAAAGCCUACUUUUAAAAACAUCCAAGAUAACCCCAUUUGGAAAAAUGUAGAGGCAUUUGAAUAGGUUUCCUGUGAAAGACAGUUCGAAAAGGAACACUCCUUGCUCUUGGCAAAACCACAUGCUCACAUUAACAUACUCAACAAAAAUGAUAAUGAAAAUAAAACAAUACUGUAGACCUGUUGUAACCUGCACACAAUAAAUUAUUUUAAAUAUUUUUCUUUUUCAUAUGAAUAGUGAUGCUAUCUUUUGGUAGACACAAGUAAUACAGAGCGGUGCAGAGGAAAUGCAUGUUUUUCGAACAGCCAGUACUCAUCAAUGGGAGGGGUAUUGCCCUGGAACGAAUGUUGGCAGACGGCCCAUACUAUACCGUUUCAGUUGCUAUGGGCAUUGGAAUGUACAACAUCAUGUGUUCGCUGUUAACAAGUUUUUUUUUAGAAACAAUGAAUCUGUAGUCACAGUACAAUAUUUUUCCGUCAAUAUUUUAGAGUUGGGCAUUGAGGUGCAAUGCCUGAUCAAAAUAUUGUACUCUGGUGGGUUGCAGCGUUUAGGAGUACUAGUUCUCUGAUGAAAAAGAAACCACCUGGUCUUCCCCAUUCCCUGGAAAAUGUAGAGUCAGAACGGCAGUUGUUACUAGUCCUAGAUGAUUGAGACGAGGAUAUGGUAUCAGGACUUGAUGACACUGACUCCGUCUACAUUUUCAGGAGUAUGAACUGAACAGGGAAGACCAGGUGGUUUCUUUUUCAUCAGAGAACUAGUACUCCUGAACGCUGCAACCCAUCGGAGUACAGUAUUUCGAUCAGGCAUUGCACCUUGAGGCCCAACUCUAAAAUAUUAACGCAAAAGCAUCGCACUGUGACUACAGAUUCAUUGUUUCUAAAAAAAAA